This 82-nucleotide transfer RNA is filed under the name Podophyllum sinense. Its description in RNAcentral is "Diphylleia sinensis tRNA-Lys". The stretch from base 1 to 73 matches the Rfam family "tRNA". Rfam says of the family: Transfer RNA (tRNA) molecules are approximately 80 nucleotides in length. Their secondary structure includes four short double-helical elements and three loops (D, anti-codon, and T loops). Further hydrogen bonds mediate the characteristic L-shaped molecular structure. tRNAs have two regions of fundamental functional importance: the anti-codon, which is responsible for specific mRNA codon recognition, and the 3' end, to which the tRNAs corresponding amino acid is attached (by aminoacyl-tRNA synthetases). tRNAs cope with the degeneracy of the genetic code in two manners: having more than one tRNA (with a specific anti-codon) for a particular amino acid; and 'wobble' base-pairing, i.e. permitting non-standard base-pairing at the 3rd anti-codon position. The record is from RNAcentral. Lineage: Eukaryota; Viridiplantae; Streptophyta; Magnoliopsida; Ranunculales; Berberidaceae.
GGGUUGCUAACUCAACGGUAGAGUACUCGGCUUUUAAUCCGACUAGUUCCGGGUUCGAGUCCCGGGCAACCCAUUAUCCAUU